Drosophila ananassae is the source of this 655-nucleotide long non-coding RNA. RefSeq lists it as uncharacterized. The transcript is spliced from 4 exons. Lineage: Eukaryota; Metazoa; Arthropoda; Insecta; Diptera; Drosophilidae. The record is from RefSeq and is a predicted model, not a curated record.
AAUGCGCUUGUUGUAACUUAACAACAAACCAAAUGCCUAAAAGUAAACCUCAUUUAGUUAAGCUUGGAAUAACCGAAAAUACAAAACAAAAAAAACAAAAAGCUUGGUUAAGCUUAAAGUUUCUUAUCUAUUGAUAAUCAAUUAUCUACCCAGAAUUGAGCAUUUAAGUAUCGGUCUAAGCAUAGAAUAAGCAGCGGCCAACUUCUUUUCUCUUGUGGCUGCUAAGAUAAGCGCAUCGCUCGCGGUUAAACUCCAGUAUAUAUUUAACCCCCGGAAAAAAAAAGACACGUGGUGGGGAAUUUCCACAUAAGUUUCCCAAAACUAAACGCAGAGGGAAGUGAGCAGCGCUCAGUGUAUUAAAAGUGAAUUACAUUUUUGCGGUGCCAAUUCAAGGUCGAAUUGGCACCCAGUAAGAACCCAUUUGUGUAUUGUUCUUACAUUGGGAAUAAGUAUACAAUUCCCCAAGCAGCCAGUUUACCCUAAGAAGGGCUUCCAGCGCCACGCCGCGGGAUCUGAUGGAUUUAUUAUAAAUUAGUAUUCAUCGCUCAACCCGACAAAAGAUCUUUUGGACGUGGAAAUUAAACUCGAUAUUCAUCGCUCAACCCGACAAAAGAUCUUUUGGACGUGGAAAUUAAACUCGAUGUAAGUGAAAAAA